CCUACGGGCGGCAGCAGUGAGGAAUAUUGGUCAAUGGGCGCGAGCCUGAACCAGCCAAGUCGCGUGAGGGAAGACGGUCCUAUGGAUUGUAAACCUCUUUUGUCGGGGAGCAAAAGACGCCACGCGUGGCGUUCCGAGAGUACCCGAAGAAAAAGCAUCGGCUAACUCCGUGCCAGCAGCCGCGGUAAUACGGAGGAUUCGAGCGUUAUCCGGAUUUAUUGGGUUUAAAGGGUGCGCAGGCGGAAGAUCAAGUCAGCGGUAAAAUUGAGGGGCUCAACCUCUUCGAGCCGUUGAAACUGGUUGGCUUGAGUGAGUGAGAGGUAGGCGGAAUGCGUGGUGUAGCGGUGAAAUGCAUAGAGAUCACGCAGAACUCCGAUUGCGAAGGCAGCAUACCGGCGCUCAACUGACGCUCAUGCACGAAAGUGUGGGUAUCGAACAGGAUUAGAUACCCCGGUAGUC
RNAcentral lists this ribosomal RNA (459 nucleotides) under uncultured bacterium. RNAcentral's name for it is "partial 16S ribosomal RNA". It matches the Rfam family "Bacterial small subunit ribosomal RNA", at positions 338 to 795 of the family's 1533-position model. The record is from RNAcentral.